Molecule: small RNA, 127 nt
Filed under: Marmota monax (woodchuck)
Lineage: Eukaryota; Metazoa; Chordata; Mammalia; Rodentia; Sciuridae
Source: RNAcentral
GCUGGGUGCGGUGGCGCACCCCUGUAAUCCCAAUGGCUCAGGAGGCUGAGGCAGAAGGAUCAUGAGUUCAAAGCCAGCCUCAAAAACUUAGCAAAGUGCUAAGCAACUCAGUGAGACCCCGUCUCUA